This 490-nucleotide ribosomal RNA is filed under the name uncultured bacterium. RNAcentral describes it as "partial 16S ribosomal RNA". It matches the Rfam family "Bacterial small subunit ribosomal RNA", at positions 30 to 507 of the family's 1533-position model. The record is from RNAcentral.
AUUGAACGCUGGCGGCAGGCCUAACACAUGCAAGUCGAACGGUAACAGGAAGAAUCUUGCUUCUUUGCUGACGAGUGGCGGACGGGUGAGUAAUGUCUGGGAAACUGCCUGAUGGAGGGGGAUAACUACUGGAAACGGUAGCUAAUACCGCAUAACGUCGCAAGACCAAAGAGGGGGACCUUCGGGCCUCUUGCCAUCGGAUGUGCCCAGAUGGGAUUAGCUAGUAGGUGGGGUAACGGCUCACCUGGGCGACGAUCCCUAGCUGGUCUGAGAGGAUGACCAGCCACACUGGAACUGAGACACGGUCCAGACUCCUACGGGAGGCAGCAGUGGGGAAUAUUGCACAAUGGGCGCAAGCCUGAUGCAGCCAUGCCGCGUGUAUGAAGAAGGCCUUCGGGUUGUAAAGUACUUUCAGCGGGGAGGAAGGGAGUAAAGUUAAUACCUUUGCUCAUUGACGUUACCCGCAGAAGAAGCACCGGCUAACUCCGUG